GACGAACGCUGGCGGCGUGCUUAACACAUGCAAGUCGAACGGAAAGGCCCUGCUUUUGUGGCGUGCUCGAGUGGCGAACGGGUGAGUAACACGUGAGUAACCUGCCCUUGACUUUGGGAUAACUUCAGGAAACUGGGGCUAAUACCGGAUAGGAGCUCCUGCUGCAUGGUGGGGGUUGGAAAGUUUGGGCGGUUGGGGAUGGACUCGCGGCUUAUCAGCUUGUUGGUGGGGUAGUGGCUUACCAAGGCUUUGACGGGUAGCCGGCCUGAGAGGGUGACCGGCCACAUUGGGACUGAGAUACGGCCCAGACUCCUACGGGAGGCAGCAGUGGGGAAUAUUGCACAAUGGGCGGAAGCCUGAUGCAGCAACGCCGCGUGCGGGAUGACGGCCUUCGGGUUGUAAACCGCUUUCGCCUGUGACGAAGCGUGAGUGACGGUAAUGGGUAAAGAAGCACCGGCUAACUACGUG
This 468-nucleotide ribosomal RNA is filed under the name uncultured bacterium. RNAcentral describes it as "partial 16S ribosomal RNA". It matches the Rfam family "Bacterial small subunit ribosomal RNA", at positions 28 to 507 of the family's 1533-position model. The record is from RNAcentral.